GAAAAUGGACAUGUGUCAACUCCACAACCCGCUUGUGGAGUCCAAAAUUUAUACUGCCGGUGUAUCAAAUAAUAACCCAUAUAUUAAUUAAUAAAGAAAGGGUAAUUAUUUGGUACAUUGACAGUGUAAAAUUUAGACUCCACAAGUGAGGUGAGGAGUUGACACAUCUAUUUUC
This 175-nucleotide microRNA precursor is filed under the name Corchorus capsularis. Its description in RNAcentral is "pre miRNA MIR811". The record is from RNAcentral. Lineage: Eukaryota; Viridiplantae; Streptophyta; Magnoliopsida; Malvales; Malvaceae.